AAGGCUUUGAAUUUCGUAUGAGCAUGCACUGAAAUUCGCUUCGGUGCGUGUUAAUUUUGAGAUGAGCCGAGAAAGAUGUUCUCCUCGCUAUCUAAUGCCGCAAUUUCUGUGUGGUAUUUGGACGUCGGAGAACUAAAUCC
This is a small nucleolar RNA of Pyrus x bretschneideri (Chinese white pear), 140 nucleotides long. RefSeq annotates it as small nucleolar RNA snoR136. The record is from RefSeq and is a predicted model, not a curated record. NCBI's taxonomy places the organism in Eukaryota, Viridiplantae, Streptophyta, Magnoliopsida, Rosales, Rosaceae. The transcript has a single exon.